GAUUGUAGUCUGCAACCCGGCUACAUGAAGCUGGAAUCGCUAGUAAUCGCGGAUCAGAAUGCCGCGGUGAAUACGUUCCCGGGUCUUGUACACACCGCCCGUCACACCAUGGGAGCCGGAAAUGCCCGAAGUCAGUGACCCAACCGCAAGGAGGGAGCUGCCGAAGGUGGAGCUGGUAACUGGGGGUGAAGUCGUAACAAGGUAGC
This 206-nucleotide ribosomal RNA is filed under the name uncultured bacterium. RNAcentral's name for it is "partial 16S ribosomal RNA". It matches the Rfam family "Bacterial small subunit ribosomal RNA", at positions 1296 to 1500 of the family's 1533-position model. The record is from RNAcentral.